GACGAACGCUGGCGGCGUGCCUAAUACAUGCAAGUAGAACGCUGAAGGAGGAGCUUGCUUCUCUGGAUGAGUUGCGAACGGGUGAGUAACGCGUAGGUAACCUGCCUGGUAGCGGGGGAUAACUAUUGGAAACGAUAGCUAAUACCGCAUAAUAGUAGAUGUUGCAUGACAUUUGCUUAAAAGGUGCAAUUGCAUCACUACCAGAUGGACCUGCGUUGUAUUAGCUAGUUGGUGAGGUAACGGCUCACCAAGGCAACGAUACAUAGCCGACCUGAGAGGGUGAUCGGCCACACUGGGACUGAGACACGGCCCAGACUCCUACGGGAGGCAGCAGUAGGGAAUCUUCGGCAAUGGACGGAAGUCUGACCGAGCAACGCCGCGUGAGUGAAGAAGGUUUUCGGAUCGUAAAGCUCUGUUGUAAGAGAAGAACGAGUGCGAGAGUGGAAAGUUCACACUGUGACGGUAUCUUACCAGAAAGGGACGGCUAACUACGUG
RNAcentral lists this ribosomal RNA (495 nucleotides) under uncultured bacterium. RNAcentral's name for it is "partial 16S ribosomal RNA". It matches the Rfam family "Bacterial small subunit ribosomal RNA", at positions 28 to 507 of the family's 1533-position model. The record is from RNAcentral.